GAUGAACGCUGGCGGCGUGCUUAAUACAUGCAAGUCGAGCGAAGCGGGGACGGGUGAGUAACACGUGGAGAACCUCCUUUACGACCGGGAUACCUGCGGGAAACACGAGCUAAACAUGAUAUUUAUACAUUGAUCCGCGCUGCAUUAGGUAGUUGGUAAGGUAACGGCGUACCAAGGCAACGAUGCAUAGCCGACCUGAGAGGGUGAUCGGCCACACUGGAACUGAGACACGGUCCAGACUCCUACGGGAGGCAGCAGUAGGGAAUCUUCCGCAAUGGGCGAAAGCCUGACGGAGCAACGCCGCGUGAGUGAUGAAGGUCUUCGGAUCGUAAAACUCUGUUAUUAGGGAAGCGGUACCUAAUCAGAAAGCCACGGCUAACUACGUGCCAGCAGCCGCGGUAAUUC
This 405-nucleotide ribosomal RNA is filed under the name uncultured bacterium. RNAcentral's name for it is "partial 16S ribosomal RNA". It matches the Rfam family "Bacterial small subunit ribosomal RNA", at positions 28 to 526 of the family's 1533-position model. The record is from RNAcentral.